This 298-nucleotide ribosomal RNA is filed under the name Preussia similis. RNAcentral describes it as "partial 28S ribosomal RNA". It matches the Rfam family "Eukaryotic large subunit ribosomal RNA", at positions 1 to 297 of the family's 3401-position model. Lineage: Eukaryota; Fungi; Ascomycota; Dothideomycetes; Pleosporales; Sporormiaceae. The record is from RNAcentral.
GACCUCGGAUCAGGUAGGGAUACCCGCUGAACUUAAGCAUAUCAAUAAGCGGAGGAAAAGAAACCAACGGGGAUUGCCCUAGUAACGGCGAGUGAAGCGGCAACAGCUCAAAUUUGAAAUCUGGCUCUUUCAGGGUCCGAGUUGUAAUUUGUAGAGGGUGCUUUGGCGUUGACGGUGGUCUAAGUUCCUUGGAACAGGACGUCGCAGAGGGUGAGAAUCCCGUAUGUGGCCGCCAGUCUUCGCCGUGUAAAGCCCCUUCGACGAGUCGAGUUGUUUGGGAAUGCAGCUCUAAAUGGGA